RNAcentral lists this transfer RNA (68 nucleotides) under Podarcis lilfordi (Lilford's wall lizard). Its description in RNAcentral is "tRNA.Lys". The stretch from base 4 to 60 matches the Rfam family "tRNA", at positions 8 to 63 of the family's 71-position model. From Rfam's summary of the family: Transfer RNA (tRNA) molecules are approximately 80 nucleotides in length. Their secondary structure includes four short double-helical elements and three loops (D, anti-codon, and T loops). Lineage: Eukaryota; Metazoa; Chordata; Lepidosauria; Squamata; Lacertidae. The record is from RNAcentral.
GGAUAGUUCAGUUGGUUGAACAUGAGACUCUUAAUCUCAGGGUUGUGAGUUUGAGCCCACAUUAGGCA